UCCGUCAUCAUUGCACCCUCCAAUUAACAAGAGGGUGCUCAACCCAGUACCCAUGGACUGCGACCAAAAUGCAAGCCGCAGAGAUAGUCAUCAAAUUAGGAGGGCAAGGAUUCGCUGCGGUUCGUGGAAUGGCAUCUGAAGCCCCAGUGUCUGCAAUCCAAUCCUGUCUUCGCUGCGUUCUUUGAUGGGAAUACUGAGAUUCAGAGAGGUGAAUUAAAUUACCCAGGCUUACACAGCUAAUAUGUGGUAAAGCCAAGGUUUGAACUCUUGUUUCAAUGAGUCUAAAGCGUCAACUGUUGUAUACUGCCUGGGAAGAAAACUCUGGAGUCAUUACAAAGGAAGACCUACUUACUGGUUCCUUCCAGGAACCUCCAGAGAGAGGCGAAGGGAGUGAUCGGGAGAGAAACAUCGAUGUGCAAGAGGAACAUCAAU
Molecule: long non-coding RNA, 432 nt
Organism: Phyllostomus hastatus (greater spear-nosed bat)
Lineage: Eukaryota; Metazoa; Chordata; Mammalia; Chiroptera; Phyllostomidae
Exons: 3
Source: RefSeq, a predicted model, not a curated record